This 468-nucleotide ribosomal RNA is filed under the name uncultured bacterium. Its description in RNAcentral is "partial 16S ribosomal RNA". It matches the Rfam family "Bacterial small subunit ribosomal RNA", at positions 28 to 507 of the family's 1533-position model. The record is from RNAcentral.
GACGAACGCUGGCGGCGUGCUUAACACAUGCAAGUCGAACGGAAAGGCCCUGCUUUUGUGGGGUGCUCGAGUGGCGAACGGGUGAGUAACACGUGAGUAACCUGCCCUUGACUUUGGGAUAACUUCAGGAAACUGGGGCUAAUACCGGAUAGGAGCUCCUGCUGCAUGGUGGGGGUUGGAAAGUUUCGGCGGUUGGGGAUGGACUCGCGGCUUAUCAGCUUGUUGGUGGGGUAGUGGCUUACCAAGGCUUUGACGGGUAGCCGGCCUGAGAGGGUGACCGGCGCCACAAGGAGUGAGAGACGCCGCGGACUCCAAUGCGAGGGGGCGGAGUGGGGAAUAGUACAAUAUGCGGGGGCGAGUUGUGCAGCAGCGGCGCGCGGGAUGACGGCAUUCGGGUUGUAAACCGCUUUCGCCUGUGACGAAGCGUGAGUGACGGUAAUGGGUAAAGAAGCACCGGCUAACUACGUG